This 597-nucleotide unclassified non-coding RNA is filed under the name Hevea brasiliensis (rubber tree). Lineage: Eukaryota; Viridiplantae; Streptophyta; Magnoliopsida; Malpighiales; Euphorbiaceae. The record is from RNAcentral.
CCCAAAGCACCAGCUAGAUAUGGAGAUACAGGCACAGAAUUAGCAUAUAGAAAGGGAGACCAAAUGAUGAUAUCUUUGUGGCCCUGGUAACUCCUAGGCAGCUCAGUUGCAAGGGUUAUUUGUUGGUUACGGUAGGAAGCAUAAAUAUCAAGCUUUUCAUGGUAAAUGCCAAUCCUCUCAUUGGGAUUUUUGGUGGAUAUGGUGACCUGAAUGUGACUAGUUAGGCAAUUUGAGCCUGAAAGGCUCAAGUCAUUAACUGUAGCAUCCUGGAGGAUGAAAGCGGGCUUUUUGGGCUGGAGAAUGGCCCAUACCAGUAAGAUCACCAAGGCGAUGACGCCAACUAUAGCAAUGACCGACCAGAAUAUCCGGAGACAGAGCUUCUUCCCUUCGUGGUGAUGGCCGCAGUUCUUUUCACACAUGGCAAUUGGAGUGGGACUUUGAGAUAAUUACUAGCUGUCACAACUGUAGCUGCAUAAACUCGAGGCAAAGAGAAGGUGAAGAAAUUACGGGCAUGGAUGAUGAAGAGAUGAGUGGUGCUUUAUAUAUAACGUAAUAGAGAGCGCGAUUUGAUUUGACGUUGUUAUUGUCCAUGUAUUU